UGUAGCCUGCCCUGCAGCCCAACGGACAUCACUGGAGACCUCCCGGAGUGCUCGGGGCACUGCUUGGCUAAACCUGGUGAGAACAUCUUUCCGGAGCUGAAUCGGCAGUUGCACAAUGAAGUCUUGCAGUUUAGAUCUGAUUCAAUCCAUUGAAUCUCAGGACCUCUUCAGGGAAUUCUGUCAGUAAUGGGGAUUUAACAAAGAUCCAGUGUCUGCUUAUACAGCUGUGCACCACAAUUCUGAAAGUUACUGAAGUCAGAAGCUUGUCGGCAGCUAUGAAUUGUGGAGACCCUCGGCAGACCGGUCCCGUGAACAAUCCUCCUAUGGUAAGGAACUGGUCUACUCUAUGCUGCUUUUAAAGGGGUUGUCCAGGUGCAGGGCUGAUCCUGGAUAGAGGCUCCCCUUUACCUUUUAAUGGUGGAGUAUUGAAGUAAGGAAAUAUCCGCUGCUCCAUUCGUACAUGGUGAAGGGGAGCUAAUGUCCAGCCCUGAACCUGAUGACCCUUCAAGUUGUGUGGGGUUGAAUGAUGACAAUUACCUUGAACUCUCUCACUGAUAUAAAGAUGAAACCUCAAGUACUGACUCCCCAGCUAAAGCAAUUCUCUAAAGCAGUCAGUAUAACUUGAAGCAUCACACUAACAUUUUAUUUUUUUCCCAAUUUAAAGGAACUUAAGAUCGUUGGUCAUCGGGAUCAAAGGACCAUCAUUGAUACCAUGUGCAAUAUCUGACUUUAUUUCACGUGUUUAUAAUAAACCUGUCAUGAUUUAAACUUGUGUUUGUAUUGUAC
Bufo gargarizans (Asiatic toad) is the source of this 786-nucleotide long non-coding RNA. RefSeq lists it as uncharacterized. NCBI's taxonomy places the organism in Eukaryota, Metazoa, Chordata, Amphibia, Anura, Bufonidae. The record is from RefSeq and is a predicted model, not a curated record. The transcript is spliced from 9 exons.